This 459-nucleotide transfer RNA is filed under the name Bartonella quintana. RNAcentral's name for it is "partial 16S-23S ribosomal RNA intergenic spacer". The stretch from base 346 to 419 matches the Rfam family "tRNA". The record is from RNAcentral. Lineage: Bacteria; Pseudomonadati; Pseudomonadota; Alphaproteobacteria; Hyphomicrobiales; Bartonellaceae.
AGGGCUUGGUAGCUCAGCUGGGUUAGAGCGCGCGCUUGAUAAGCGUGAGGUCGGAGGUUCAAGUCCUCCCAGGCCCACCAAUUUUACAUCACUUUUAAGUGCUUAUAGAAAUUGUAAGCAGUUAUGAAAGCUUGCUGAUAAAAAUUUUAUGGCGCUUAUCCAUUUGGUUUAAACGAUAUGUGACUUAAGCCAUCUAAAAUUAAAGCAGUUCAAAUGCAUAGAAGUUUGAAUUUUAGACAAUGGAAGUAAAUUUGGAUAAUGUGAAUUUUGAGCAGUAUAAAUUUAGGUUCUGCAAAUUUUGCAAAUCUCUCUUCAAAGAGUUUCGCAUGGUUUUAUGCUGUUUUAGGGGCCGUAGCUCAGCUGGGAGAGCACCUGCUUUGCAAGCAGGGGGGUCGUCGGUUCGAUCCCGUCCGGCUCCACCAUUUUAGGUCAUCAUCAUUGUUAGACGAACAGUGUUUG